GGUUAAGCGACUAAGCGUACACGGUGGAUGCCCUGGCAGUCAGAGGCGAUGAAGGACGUGCUAAUCUGCGAUAAGCGUCGGUGAGGUGAUAUGAACCGUUAUAACCGGCGAUUUCCGAAUGGGGAAACCCAGUGUGUUUCGACACACUAUCAUUAACUGAAUCCAUAGGUUAAUGAGGCGAACCGGGGGAACUGAAACAUCUAAGUACCCCGAGGAAAAGAAAUCAACCGAGAUUCCCCCAGUAGCGGCGAGCGAACGGGGAGGAGCCCAGAGCCUGAAUCAGUGUGUGUGUUAGUGGAAGCGUCUGGAAAGGCGCGCGAUACAGGGUGACAGCCCCGUACACAAAAAUGCACAUAUUGUGAGCUCGAUGAGUAGGGCGGGACACGUGGUAUCCUGUCUGAAUAUGGGGGGACCAUCCUCCAAGGCUAAAUACUCCUGACUGACCGAUAGUGAACCAGUACC
RNAcentral lists this ribosomal RNA (462 nucleotides) under Escherichia coli. Its description in RNAcentral is "partial 23S ribosomal RNA". It matches the Rfam family "Bacterial large subunit ribosomal RNA", at positions 1 to 502 of the family's 2925-position model. The record is from RNAcentral. Lineage: Bacteria; Pseudomonadati; Pseudomonadota; Gammaproteobacteria; Enterobacterales; Enterobacteriaceae.